RNAcentral lists this transfer RNA (74 nucleotides) under Eubacterium sp. Its description in RNAcentral is "tRNA-Arg". It matches the Rfam family "tRNA". From Rfam's summary of the family: Transfer RNA (tRNA) molecules are approximately 80 nucleotides in length. RNAcentral also lists the same sequence under 1 other name. Lineage: Bacteria; Bacillati; Bacillota; Clostridia; Eubacteriales; Eubacteriaceae. The record is from RNAcentral.
GUGCAUGUAGCUCAGCUGGAUAGAGCGUCUGGCUACGGACCAGAAGGUCGAGGGUUCGAAUCCUUUCAUGCACG